This 468-nucleotide ribosomal RNA is filed under the name uncultured bacterium. RNAcentral's name for it is "partial 16S ribosomal RNA". It matches the Rfam family "Bacterial small subunit ribosomal RNA", at positions 28 to 507 of the family's 1533-position model. The record is from RNAcentral.
GACGAACGCUGGCGGCGUGCUUAAUACAUGCAAGUCGAACGGAAAGGCCAUGCUCUUGCGGGGUUCUCGAGUGGCGAACGCGUGAGUAACACGUGAGUAACCUGCCCUUGACUUUGGGAUAACUUCAGGAAACUGGGGCGAAUACCGGAUAGGAGCUCCUGAUGCAUGGUGGGGGUUGGAAAGAUUCGGCGGUUGGGGAUGGACUCGAGGCUUAUCAGCUUGUUGGUCGGGUAGUGGCUGACCAAGGGUUUGACGGGUAGCCGGCCUGAGAGGGUGACCGGCCUCAUUGGGACUGCGAGAGGCAGCAGACGCGUACGGUAGGCAGCAGUGGGGAGUAUGGCGCAGUGAGCGGAAGCCUGAUGCGACAACGCCGCGUGCGGGAAGACGUCUUUCUGGUGGUGAACCGCUUUCGCCGGUGACGAAGCGUGCGUGACGGUAACGGGUAAAAAAGCACCGGCUAACUACGUG